CAGCGCCCCUGCGGGGAGAGCCGGUCAGCACGUUGAAGAAGGAAAUGAUAGAGUAAAUCAGAGAGGGUCCCACGCACUGGAGAGAGACCUCCGAGGCGGACCCUCAGGCCCUUCUGUGGUGGGGGACACCCCACCAGCCCCAUGAUACCCGAGAGCGCAGGAAUGGUGUGGAGGGUUCCACACGGGCAGUCAGCCAGGAAAGGACUCAGUGUCCCUGCUCUGGAGCCCAGUCGGGGCCGCCUGUGCCUUGGAGUAGGUGGACAGAUACACGACCUGUGGUGCAUCCGGACCGCGCGCGGACCAAAUGAGCUCUCGUGAGGGGAAAAGACGUGGAGGAGACCUAGCGCGUGUCACUAAGUGAACGAAGCCAAUCUGUGUGAAGGGGGUCUCUGAGGGGCUGGGAUCCGCUUUCCCCAGAGGGACCCAACACGCCUUCUAGUCCACAAGCCACAGGUCCAAGGCCUGGCCUGCCGUCUGGUAGCCUCUGAGCAGCUGAGAGAAGGGCCUGGGAAGGACCCAGAAAGGGCUCGAGGGGGUACAGCCCAGGGGAACCCCUCCAGCAGGAGCAGCCCCCCACCCACCCCUUCAGUGCAUGUGGGGCCAGCUCCUUGUCUUUGAGGCGCUCAGACCACCACCGCCCCUCCAGCCACCGGACCCGCCUCUCGUACACCCACUUGAUCUUCCUUCAAAAGUCGUUGGAAUUUGCCUUCCCACCCUCGCCAUGCCCCAUAAGGGUGCACCCCUCCAGAGCCCAGGCCACGUGCAGGGGGGCAGCCUCCUCCCAGGCCCUGCUUGCAUCUGCCCCUAGCCCUUGUUCACCCCUAGCAGUAGCAGGGGCACAGAGCUGGGCCCCGAACACGCUCACGCUGCCCGAGCCUGGCCUGCCUUAGGACUUGCAGCUUCCCUGCCUGGAACACACUUCGCACCCUGUCUGCAACCCUGGAGGAAUUUCCACAGAUGCAAGGAGGACAGCUGACCACCCUGACGCCCUGGGCUCGGACAAGCCCGGGCUGUGGGGCUGGCCCGGAGGCUCAGGGGUCCCGGAGGCCCGCACGCUCCCCAGCCGGGCUCCACAAGACCUCGGCACACCUCCUCACUGGGGCUGACCACAGGCCUUUCCACCCGCUGUCUCCACAGCCCAGUGUUGGAGCCUCUCCUGGGAGACCCCAGCCCCCAACGGACUGGCAGGCCCAAGGUCAGCGGUCUCCACAUUGACAGCAUCCCUCUACCCCAGGGCUGGUGUAACGGGGAGGGACGGAUUCGGCUCGAUAAGGCCCAUCUUGUGAGACAAUAAAUU
This is a long non-coding RNA of Zalophus californianus (California sea lion), 1297 nucleotides long. RefSeq lists it as uncharacterized. The record is from RefSeq and is a predicted model, not a curated record. Lineage: Eukaryota; Metazoa; Chordata; Mammalia; Carnivora; Otariidae. The transcript has 5 exons.